This 781-nucleotide long non-coding RNA is filed under the name Homo sapiens (human). RNAcentral describes it as "non-protein coding lnc-SDHAF4-6:1". The record is from RNAcentral. Lineage: Eukaryota; Metazoa; Chordata; Mammalia; Primates; Hominidae.
GGUUUCUUGGGUAUCACUCAAAGUAUUGAAGAUGACCCAUCUUUGGAUACCCAGCUUCUCUUAACAUUGCUCACUAGAAGCUCAUUUUAGACCCUGAUUCUAUCUUUUUCCUACAGUCAUCAUAACAAAUCUUUUGUUUAUUCAUGUUGUGUUAUUUUUAGCAUUUUUAACAGAUGUGGUUUGUUCUUACCCUAAUCUAAAUGAAGACAGGUGCCCAGGAAACUAUACCAACCCUCUUGAAGUUCAAAUGGUUGUAAUCCUUUGGAAAGUUACUUUGUGGUGGAUUUUCUGUUUACAUCUUGAAUGCUACAUCCAGUAUCACCACAGCAAAGUCAGAAAUCGAGGCUAUAACUUGAUCUACUGAUGGAUAAGGCAUCUCAAGAGAUUUAUGUUAAUGAUACACUCCACUGGCAACACAAUAAUUCUCUUCAUACUGUGUUGCAGCAUUCCUUCCUGGAACCCAGCAGAUCAGAUUAUAUCUUGAUCUCCUUCUGGCCAUCCUGGCCCUGGUGCUGAUCUGUUUUCUGAUGUGUCUGCUCAUUUACACAGUGAAAAUCUGGAAGUUUAAUAAAGCUAAGCCAUAUCCUGAUGUACUUGAAGAAGGAAAAAUCUGUACUUAACCCAGCAGUAUUACCUCAGAGACUGGAUUCAGGACUAUUUGAAACCUAGAAGAAGUUGUUGAAAAGCAAGGAGACAUAAUAGUAUAUAUGAAGCGACACAAUGAAGUGUUGAGUGACUGUUGGCUCUCACUUCCUUGGACCUAGCCUGUUAGCCAAGUAGA